UCCCCUUGGAAAGGCAGAGAGGUCCUCCUAUAUUAUUAAGUGACAUUUUGCCACAUUUUCCAGCUUCUAGAAAGCGGGAGGAAAGUCAACAGAAUAGAAGAAACUCCCAGACCUUCAAAAGAAUCCAUGCCACUAUAAACAAAUAAUGGGAGAGAGAUGGCCAGAGGCUCUUCAUAGGAUGAUCUCCACUGCAUGCCGGUGGGUCGGGCAGGUCACAUCUGGCUGAGAGCGAGCCAUCAUCUGCCCAGCACACAUUGCAGCUACGGAUGCUGGAUUCUUGCCAUUGUGGAGUUGGCCAUCGGGAGAGAAGGUGUACUACACAAGGCAGUAUGGGUCUCUCUUUGCUGCUGUUCCUUUCCCUGCACAUGGGGUCCACAAUGCAUACUCCUUCAGUGAUUCAGACACCUACCUCUCUGAAUGUGACGGAAGGAUCAACACUGGAUAUGAAGUGCAGAAUCGAUGGAAACCUCUCCAAAAUUUUUUUAAAUUGGUAUAAAAAUGGAAUUGAUGAAUUACAAAACUCAACAGAAAUUUAUAUAAUUAAAAAUGAAACAGAUAGAUCUAGUCAUUUCAUUCUGGAGACAGCAGAUAUAGCUGAUUCUGGAACCUAUGUGUGUAAGGCUGGAAACAUAGCACACAAUCUUCCCAAUAAUGGGACACAAGUGACCAUCAACGAAAUUACUGGAUUUAAGGUGAACCAGACUCCUAGCCACAUCAGCAAAGAGGAAGGGGCAGAUGUCACCCUUGAGUGUCACUUCAGGACUGUCGGCAGGAACAGCACCAUGUGUGUGAGGUGGUGCAAAGGAGGGCUUGAGGGAGAGCUGACUAACAAAACAGGCUCGUGCAGAAUCACUCAGAAUCUGAGAAAAGGAUUUGCUUCGCUCACUCUCAUGAAUGCUAACGUGAGCGAUUCAGGGUCCUACACCUGUGAAGUCAGGAGAGAAUCAAGAAAUCACUGGGAAUCAGGGAGUCCAUCUGCUGUUGUCAUCACAAAACAUAACAAGCAGCCUGCGAGCAACAGUGGAAGCUCUGAAUCCAGAGCUAGAGCUGGAAUUGGAGCCGGAAUUGGAGCCGGAGCCGGAACCCUCCUGCUGUUGCUGCUGCUAAGUGUCUUUGUGUGCUGGAGAUAUAAGAAGCAAGCCAAAGGGACUCCGGUAAGCACGUCAGAGACAGAAGCCGGGCCAACGAAAGAAGGCCAGCCGCAUUCUCCUGUAGCCAACCAAGAAAGCAAUAUAACCUACGCCGCCCUCCGAUUCAACAGAAAGGAAGUGCAACCAGAUGCUGAAGUCAUUUAUGCAGAAGUGAGAACAAGUCAACAACAGCAAAGCGGCGAAAAGGGCCGGAUCCAGCCCCAAACUGGCCACUCCCGCUAGAGGAGAUGGUGUGGAAUAGGAGAGAGGCCCAAGCCCCUUUCAAAAGCCCCUUGGAUCCCCUUUUCUGUGAGAUUGUUCCUUGUUCCAUUAUGUUGAAGACCCACAGUCUGGAAGAUAUGCUGACGCCCUUGUUCCUCUUCCCUUAAUCUGAUGGCUGGGCAGCUUGAGUCUAUAAAGUCAUGAUGUCUGGCUCUGAAGAUGCUGCUGAAGCCAUCACUGCCUCUCCCCCCCCAUGAGGCCAUCUGGCCCUUGCCCCCCCCCGUAGAUAUAGGAAGAGUGUGGUGGCUGCUGCAGAGAGGGUGACUGCCAAGGGUGGGCUCCCUCAGCUGGCCUGCAAAUGGGACGUCCUCUUGAGGCAACUUUGCAAUGCAUACUCAGGCCUUAGAGUGGCUAACUCAGGCCCUCUUGCAUGCCCACCUGUAGCCAUGUGGCUGCAAUGCGCAUGUGACUACUUUAACCACUUGGGCAGGGGGCGGUUGUGUGGCUUAGUCUCACCCAACUGCAGAUCCUGCCACAAGCAACCAUAACCAUUGGAUGAGAGAGAUGGACCCACACAUCUGGUUGCACCCCAGAGAAGUGGCUGCAACACAGUUGUGAACGUGUGUGAAAGGAACCACUGUUAAUCAGCUAUAGGCCUGGGCUUUAACUCUUACACUGUCAGGAUGGGGAGCAAUCAGCUAGAAGAGGCUCAGACUCAGCAAUUCAGCAGCACUAAGUCUCCACUUCUCAUCUGCCAGAGCUGUGGGCUGAAGUACAUGUUCAGUUGAUGGAAUAUUGUAUGGUAUAGUCCUUCCUAGGAAUAUAGUGUAGUACAGUUGGCCUGCACCCCUUCAGGACCUCAGGUGGGGAAAAUAACAUGUUUCAGUGUACCCUAUAGUUAAAACAGAAAACCCUUUCCCCAAACACAGAAAAUUAGUGCAUCAAGGAUACACAUUGGUUAAAUUCUUCUUAACAUGCUAUAUUUCAAUGUUCAGACAAUAUUUCCCAGAGGGAAGUAUUCAAACAUGUGACAAACCCCCAAAAUCUGAAGUGGUACAGUCCAGGGCAGAGCUUUGGGGCAGGUGUGCAGAAUGAGAGGAUGGGGGGUGGGUAAUUAUGGCAGGGCUAGCUUACCACAUCUUGAAGUAACACUCUGUAGAGCCCUGCCAAAUAGUUUAAACUGACAACUAAUUGCACCACUGAGUCCAGGAGCCCCUUUUUGCCACCUUUGGGGAUUUUCUCUUUUAUUUAUCUGCUAAGCAUCCUGUGACCCCAGUCCAACAGAGCUCAUUGGGAGCAGCUGGGAAUGUGUGUACAGAAAGCCUCACUCAUCAGCUGCUUGGCAGGAAAUUGGGGGGGGAGCUGAGGCAGGGAGAGUGAAUGCAGCCCAACUCCUACAGAGCUGAGUGCUCUGUUUAAAGGUCUCUGCACCUGUCCUGCUUCAGCCCUGGAUGUUGGAAUGGGGAAGGGGAAUUACACUGGCAACCCCGGAGAUGUCUGGGGGUGAAUAUCUCCUCACUUGGUCAAGCCACAGAGCUGCAGAUCCUUUGCGUUGUUUGGCUACUUAAACCUCAUGGACUCUUUUCUCCCUGACUUCAGCAACUUGUCUGUGCUCCCCUUCCACUGCAGUGGCCCAGCACAGCUGUCUCGUGGGCAAAGAGAGGGCAGAGCAGGAGCGUACAACCAGUGGCCCUCCAGAUGUUGCUGGAUUCCAACUCCCACAAGCCCUGACUAUUGGCCAUGCUGGCUGGGGCUAAUGGGAGACGGAGUCCAGCAACAUUUGGAGGGCCAACGGUUGCCCAACCCUGGUGUAGAGGUGGCAUGUCUUUCCUUUUACACAAAUGUUCUUGGGAUGGGGGCUCCAAUGGGAGUCUACCACCAUAUUUAUGAGGGAAACUCAUGUCUGCAGGAGGAGAGGGUGGGGGGUGUUCCAAUGCUGCCUGGGGAGCAGAGAGGAGGCUUGUGGGCCUGGGGCACCAAUUGGGAGAAAUUCUGGCAUGAGGAGUGUUGCUUGAGAGCAAUGGUGUAGCUGUCGAGGGUCUCGGGGGGCCUUAGACCCCUUACUUUUGGGUGGGGUACCGGGUCCCUGCAGAGUCCCUAUGUCUUCAGCAUGCUACAAGCCAAUCAUUAUUAAAGGAGAGUGUGUUAGCCACUGAGAAGAGUCUUCUAACUUGAUUCCUGUCAUUUCCUGCUGAUGGGAGCCAAUCAGAGUGAAAGGAGUUCCCAUUAGUUCCUACUUCAAAAAGCCAAGUUGUGGAGAGUGAGAAUUCUGUAACUGCAGAAGAAGAGACAGUGAAUCCUGAUGAUAGCAUCCCUUCUACAUCACCAAACAGUUUGAUAGCAGCAGGAGAUAAAUGUGGAGACCCAGAAUUCAAUAAUUCAAGCAAUAUCCCUGACAGUGAGAAAGGACAGUCAAAUGGUGACAGUGAUAGAGAAGCAGAAAGCAGCAUUCAAGCCCGGCUGGAUCAUUCUAUCAUCAGUUUACCACUACGCUUCUGCUAGAGAGGGGAGGAAGAGGAGAGUUAUAUGGGAAUCAAAAGCUACAGUAACUCCAGUGGGUCAAAGGAAGCAUCCUCAGAUCCAGUCUCCCCUCUGCCAGCCAUGUGCUAGAUCAGCUUUCCCCCAACCUGACACCCUCCAGAUGUUUGGCUGUGCUGGCUGGAGCUGAUGGGAAUUGUAGUCCAAAACAGCUGGAGGGUGCUUGGUUGUGGUGGAAAGGCUGUACUGUUACAGAAUCUGAGAGCCCAAACUGCACAAUAUGUGUGAGAGAGGCAGGAUCAGAUCUGAUGUUUCUGUUUUUCAUUGAAAGCCACAGGGUGGGUGGGUGAGAGGGAGUGAGAAACUGGGUUGGGGGGUAGCAGCACUGGAGAAGUGAGGUCAUUCUCCUCCUCCCCCCCAUUUAAAACCCUCCCCCAGUCUGGUAACCCUAUAGUGGGAAAGCUACAGGCUCUCCUGUCUUUUCUAGAGUGGAGCUAACAGCAAUUGGGGUGGGGUGGGUAAUAUAGAUGAGCAUGGAAACAGCACGGGAAGAAAGGUUUAAUAAAAGCCUUCCCCCAGAGCUGCAAUUCCAGUCCAUUUUGCCAGUCCCUGCAGCUGUUCUAAACUAAAAAUAGAAAUGCCAGGAAAUCACAUCUCGAUUCCCUUGCACCUCAUGUGGCUUAGCCCUUAGCCAAAGCCAGUGUUAUUUGCUCAGCCUCAAAGCCCCAGCCCACCCAUCUGCAAUAUAAGCAUCAUAAUAGUGGUCUACUUUACAAAGCUGUUGUAAGGAUUACUGAGAUAAUACAUAUGAAGCACUCUGAAUCCUGGAAAAGAAUGUCCUACUUAAAAAAUUAAGAAAUGCUAUUAUUGCUGUAGUUCAUGAAUUGGGGAGACACACCAGUGUUCAGCAAUGCUAGGAAAGGCAGCUCGUGGGUGGGUGUAUAUAUGCAUGCGCUCUCCCCUCUUGGCAGCAGAAGCUUAGCUAGGGAUGCAACAAACCUGUACUGAAAAUGCAGAUGUUUGGAAUUCACGCGCCAACAGGUCUUCCUGCACUAGCACCACAAAAGGAAAGGGUGGCUCUUAGGGUGCCUUGGACCGUCAGUAUUUUGCGGGAGCGAUUCAAGUGCACACCAGAAAUUUAGAUUUGAGCAGUUAAAGUUCUCUCUCACCCUAUUGUGACAAAUCCACUUUAAAAAAGAGACUUUUUGUUGUUUAGAAAGUGGCAGAAGAAAGCAUUGAAAAGUAUGGGGGGAUUGAAUGACUAACAGGAAGACAAAUAAACACGCUGCAAGCUGAUCAGGAUGAAUCCGGGAUGAAUGCUCAUUACAGAACUGCCCAGCAAACCGAUCAGAACAAAUGCGCAAUAGACUUGGAUAUAAUCAAACCUACAUUUAAGCUUUGGGCAAGCAAAUCAGGUUGAACGUUCAACAAACAGGUCGUCUGGAGGGGCUGUCACAAAGGGCUACCCGCGUGAGACACAGCCACGACGCUCGCUCCCUGGCAGAUGGAAUGACAAUUAAGAAGAUCUUGGAUGUACAAGAAGGGACUUUAGAUAUGUUUCAGAAAAUAAUGAAUGGGAUUAAGUCAAUAAAACAAGAACUGAGAAAUAAUAGUCAAGCGUUGAGAAUUGAAUUUGACGAAAUGAGACAGGAGCUGAAAGAAAUUCAGGAUUCUAUGAGAAAGGAGAAUAAAGAUAGAUCUGGAAAACCAAAAAAGGAUGAAAGAAAAAUUAAAGGCAAGGUUCAAACUAUGGAGAUUGGAUUAAAUAUGGACAUGGAAAAAGAUUUGGAUUUCCUGGCUGUGAUGGAUCCUGGAGACAAAUAUUACGGUUUGGAAUUCAGCGCUGUUCCUGAAGGAAUUGAUGAAGCGUUUGGAGAUAAAGAUAUUAUCGGUUCGAAAAAAUUCUUGGACUGGAAGGAUUUGAUGGAACUUGAAAUGGAGAAAGUUAACAGAAUUAAUCCCUGUUUUGUGUCAAUGGAAAAAUCUUCAAGAGAUGUGCUAGUAUAUUCUGUAAAAAAGAGGAACAGAGAUGCGGCUUUGCAACAAUACUUCAGUGAUACGUUCAGAAUUGAUGGCAAGGAAAUAUCUGUGAUAAAGGAAAUUCCUAUCAGACUCUUAUUAUAUGACUAUGGCAGCAAGAUUAUUGGGUGCGUAAAGAUGGAAGAUGGAAGAUGGAACUAACACGGAUAAUGGAAGAAGAGCGAUUUGAAAUUACUGGACUUAGUAGACUUGAUGAGUUGGAUUAAUUGACAUGUUUAUCUAGAAAAAAAAUUGAUGGACAUAUAUCUCAAGGAUUGGAAACUUCUCU
Rhineura floridana is the source of this 6138-nucleotide RNA transcript. It is a transcript of the gene named basement membrane-specific heparan sulfate proteoglycan core protein-like, with no coding region annotated. NCBI's taxonomy places the organism in Eukaryota, Metazoa, Chordata, Lepidosauria, Squamata, Rhineuridae. The transcript is spliced from 9 exons. The record is from RefSeq and is a predicted model, not a curated record.